This 253-nucleotide ribosomal RNA is filed under the name uncultured bacterium. RNAcentral describes it as "partial 16S ribosomal RNA". It matches the Rfam family "Bacterial small subunit ribosomal RNA", at positions 524 to 776 of the family's 1533-position model. The record is from RNAcentral.
UACGAAGGGGGCUAGCGUUGCUCGGAAUUACUGGGCGUAAAGCGUGCGUAGACGGUUGCGUAAGUCAGAUGUGAAAGCCCCGGGCUCAACCUGGGAAUUGCAUUUGAGACUGCGUAGCUAGGGUGCGGAAGAGGGAAGCGGAAUUUCUGGUGUAGCGGUGAAAUGCGUAGAUAUCGGAAGGAACACCAGUGGCGAAAGCGGCUUCCUGGUCCAGCACCGACGUUCAGGCACGAAAGCGUGGGGAGCAAACAGG